RNAcentral lists this ribosomal RNA (494 nucleotides) under uncultured bacterium. Its description in RNAcentral is "bacterial SSU rRNA". It matches the Rfam family "Bacterial small subunit ribosomal RNA", at positions 35 to 507 of the family's 1533-position model. The record is from RNAcentral.
GCUGGCGGCGUGCCUAAUACAUGCAAGUCGAGCGGAAUGAUGAAGAAGCUUGCUUCUUCUGAUUUUAGCGGCGGACGGGUGAGUAACACGUGGGCAACCUGCCCUGUAGACUGGGAUAACAUCGAGAAAUCGGUGCUAAUACCGGAUAAUUGUUGGAACUGCAUAGUUCUAACUUGAAAGAUGGCUCCGGCUAUCACUAUAGGAUGGGCCCGCGGCGCAUUAGCUAGUUGGUAAGGUAAUGGCUUACCAAGGCGACGAUGCGUAGCCGACCUGAGAGGGUGAUCGGCCACACUGGGACUGAGACACGGCCCAGACUCCUACGGGAGGCAGCAGUAGGGAAUCUUCCGCAAUGGACGAAAGUCUGACGGAGCAACGCCGCGUGAGUGAUGAAGGUUUUCGGAUCGUAAAGCUCUGUUGUUAGGGAAGAACAAGUGCCGUUCGAAUAGGGCGGCACCUUGACGGUACCUAACCAGAAAGCCACGGCUAACUACGUG